AGAUAAUAUUUCCACCGGGAAGAACCUGUUGAACGUAUGGUUGAUACUUUAUUAACGAAAGGUAAGCACUCUCAGUUUCUAGCUACUCCCCGUGGCCGAAAUGAGACUGCUUUUUAUUUUUUUAUUCGUUUAUCGGUUUUAAUCCCCUGGUCAGUUGGUUAUGGAGAGCAGGAGAUCAAUGUGGACAAUUCGGCUACUGGGAAAAACCUGUUGAAAUUCUGGUUCAUAAUUUAUUAAAGAAUCAAAGUUUUUCUUUUUAGGGCAUUUUUCCUUUAUUCAGGUCACUACAGUGAGAGAGAGAGGAAAGUCAGGGACAGAGAGAGAGAGAGGAUGACAUGCGGGCCACGGGUCGGACUGGAGCCCUCAGACCGCUGGGUUAACGAUAGGUACCUCCGCCACUUGCAGCACAUCAACCACCUUACCACCAGUUUUCGUGAGACCCCAUCCA
Molecule: long non-coding RNA, 448 nt
Organism: Seriola aureovittata
Lineage: Eukaryota; Metazoa; Chordata; Actinopteri; Carangiformes; Carangidae
Exons: 3
Source: RefSeq, a predicted model, not a curated record